UGGGGAAUAUUGCACAAUGGGGGAAACCCUGAUGCAGCGACGCCGCGUGAACGAAGAAGGUAUUCGUAUCGUAAAGUUCUGUCCUAUGGGAAGAUAAUGACAGUACCAUAGAAGAAAGCUCCGGCUAAAUACGUGCCAGCAGCCGCGGUAAUACGUAUGGAGCGAGCGUUGUCCGGAAUUAUUGGGCGUAAAGGGUACGCAGGCGGGUUAAUAAGUCGAAUGUUAAAGAUCGGGGCUCAACCCCGCAAAGCAUUGGAAACUGAUAAACUUGAGUAGUGGAGAGGAAAGUGGAAUUACUAGUGUAGUGGUGAAAUACGUAGAUAUUAGGAGGAAUACCAGUAGCGAAGGCGACUUUCUGGACACAAACUGACGCUGAGGUACGAAAGCGUGGGGAGCAAACAGG
Molecule: ribosomal RNA, 403 nt
Filed under: bacterium
Lineage: Bacteria
Description: partial 16S ribosomal RNA
Rfam family: Bacterial small subunit ribosomal RNA
Source: RNAcentral